RNAcentral lists this long non-coding RNA (943 nucleotides) under Mus musculus (house mouse). Its description in RNAcentral is "pluripotency associated transcript 26". Lineage: Eukaryota; Metazoa; Chordata; Mammalia; Rodentia; Muridae. The record is from RNAcentral.
CUCACUUUGGAAACACUGACAGAGAGCUUUCAGAGAUGCAGUGACUCUGCCAGAUGCUUCAGUGUCUCCCAGGAGGCAGGUUUUGCAGUGCAUGGAGAGGAACCAGCUGGCAGAGAAAGCAGGUUCAAGCUCAAGCAGCAAUCAGAUCAUGUAGAAUGACCACAGCCAAAUGCACAAGCCCAUUUGAGAAGCAAGGGAAUGUCUUGUGUGAUCCCAGAAUCCCAGGUCCCGGGAAGACAGAAAUGUUGCUGAGACCCCGUGGCAGCUUGGGUUCAAGCAAGACAAAGCUGCAGCCAACAGGGCUGCCAUCUUCUCACUCUCUAAAGGAAUGUGAGAGGGUGACCACCCUACAACCCAGGGAAAUGGGUUCUUGUUCUAGCCUGGUGUUGGAGAAUCACUCUCUGCAUCUGGUAAAGUAUGGUGGAUUUGACUGUGUUUGUGGAUUAGAACUUUUUACAUACAAAAAGGCCUCUGCCCUCAAUGUUCUCUCUGAUAGAGCUACAAGGCCUAAGUGGACAGUGGAUACUUAGCAGAGACAGGGAGUGGCAAGGUACUGGGACAUACGUUUGAGAUGAGGACAGGCAGCUUGUCAUGAAUGCACCAUUUCCCAUCCCUACAAGGAAGACCCUGUCUUACCAAUGUCUCUGCCUCUAGAUGUUUACAAAGAAGAUAAAUUCCUCUUCAGGCCUGACACCAGCCAUCCACCUCCAGCAGCAAGGGAACCAGGAAAUCUCAUGGCCAGCCUGGCCAGCAAGCGAGUGGAAUAUGCAAAGGAGAUGACUCACAGCAGACCAGCACGGUCGGCCAUGAAGCAGAGGCCAAAUUGCCAUCUGUUUCAUCAAGUUCGUUGGUGGUUGCCGUAUUUAUGUCUGUGAUUUAUGUCUAGGUGUCACCAUGAGCCUUGGCAGAUUUGGGAGACUAUUAAAUGUAUGAUUUGUCGAUA